RNAcentral lists this ribosomal RNA (467 nucleotides) under uncultured bacterium. Its description in RNAcentral is "partial 16S ribosomal RNA". It matches the Rfam family "Bacterial small subunit ribosomal RNA", at positions 28 to 506 of the family's 1533-position model. The record is from RNAcentral.
GACGAACGCUGGCGGCGUGCUUAACACAUGCAAGUCGAACGGAAAGACCCUGCUUUUGUGGGGUGCUCGAGUGGCGAACGGGUGAGUAACACGUGAGUAACCUGCCCUUGACUUUGGGAUAACUUCAGGAAACUGGGGCUAAUACCGGAUAGGAGCUCCUGCUGCAUGGUGGGGGUUGGAAAGUUUCGGCGGUUGGGGAUGGACUCGCGGCUUAUCAGCUUGUUGGUGGGGUAGUGGCUUACCAAGGCUUUGACGGGUAGCCGGCCUGAGAGGGUGACCGGCCACAUGGGGACUGAGAUACGGCCCAAACUCCUACGGGGGGCAGCGGUGGGGAAUAUUGCACAAUGGGCGGAAGCCUGAUGCAGCAACGCCGCGUGCGGGAUGACGGCCUUCGGGUUGUAAACCGCUUUCGCCUGGGACGAGGCGUGAGUGACGGUAAUGGGUAAAGAAGCACCGGCUAACUACGU